RNAcentral lists this ribosomal RNA (284 nucleotides) under Flavobacterium sp. ZT3R18. RNAcentral describes it as "partial 23S ribosomal RNA". It matches the Rfam family "Bacterial large subunit ribosomal RNA", at positions 2664 to 2925 of the family's 2925-position model. Lineage: Bacteria; Pseudomonadati; Bacteroidota; Flavobacteriia; Flavobacteriales; Flavobacteriaceae. The record is from RNAcentral.
GAGAGGGGCUGCUCCUAGUACGAGGGGACCGGAGUGGACGAGCCUCUGGUGUUCCGGUUGUCACGCCAGUUGCAUUGCCGGGUAGCUAUGUUCGGAAGAGAUAACCGCUGAAAGCAUCUAAGCGGGAAACUUGCCUCAAGAUGAGAUCUCACUGGGAUCUUGAAUCCCCUAAAGGGCCGUCGAAGACUACGACGUUGAUAGGUUGGGUGUGUAAGCGCUGUGAGGCGUUGAGCUAACCAAUACUAAUUGCCCGUGAGGCUUGACCAUAUAACACCCAAGCAAUU